This 261-nucleotide long non-coding RNA is filed under the name Phoenix dactylifera (date palm). RNAcentral describes it as "long non-coding RNA (PDAC_LNC009594)". The record is from RNAcentral. Lineage: Eukaryota; Viridiplantae; Streptophyta; Magnoliopsida; Arecales; Arecaceae.
CGAGCGGGGUCGUGUAUAUGAGCUGGGCUGGGUCAUCUGGGAAUCACGAAACAUUUAGACAUUAGAAGAAAUGCAGCACAAUUAAACAAUUAUAGAUAAGCUAUUGUAAAAAGGUGAGACUCAUGUUCCGAUCAGAGAGAACCCCUUGGGGUCCUACUGGUAAUACACCCGGAGAUUUUCAGAACUCUAGCUUCGUGGGAUGGGGGUCCUCUCGAGAGACUCCAGCUUGUACGCCUCGGGUCGCUGGACGCGCACGACCCG